GUUAACAACGAUUAGCUAAUGAGUGUCCAAUUCCAAAUUGCCCACGUGGAAAACCUCAGGUUACUGGCGCCCUUUCGUUCGCAGCCCGCCAAGACAGAGAUCCGAAUCGUCAAAGUAAAUCGAUCUAAAUUUAGAAAAAUUCAAAUUAUCACCUGUAUUUCGAUCCCUGAACAGAUGAAUAACAUUUACUGAAUGAAAAAAGAAAGAUUCGAGGUCAAAUAUACAUUGACGCAAAGAACAGAAAGGGGGCUGAAUUCUCUGCGUUCAGCUUAUGUUUGGUCGCCAGCAUGGACAUAGGAACAGAUUGGGUAUUUAAUUAUUGAAGUAGGAUUCCCAAUUGGAUAUAUGUAUGGUAAUCCAACUCUGUGCGCUAUUUAUUCAACCUUAUACUCACUUAAAUGAUCCUUUCCAUUUAGGCCGAUGAUCUUAUGUGUUCAUUGAGCGAAAAUCAUGAAAUUUGCGUCGGUGGGCUUGAGCAAUGCUUGUGCAAAAAUUCCUAACUUCUAAAUUAUUGUAAGGUAUUUUACACGUUCAGCUCUGAGGUGAUUACACUGGAGGGGCAAAAUGUCAUCUUUACCAAGAAGGUCCACUUUUUUGUAACUAUUACUUCGGAUUUUUGUUCGUUUAUAGAAGUUCCAUAAUCUUCGACAGUCCUCAACGACCAGCGUCAGAUUUCCAAGUCCAUCAAGUUAAUUGACCUACGCUUGUAAAUAGUCGAGCAAUGAUUUUGAGGAUAAGACUUUCUAUAUUUUGAGAUUGCAAUAAUCUCAUGGUGAAGAAAUAAUAUCAUAGUCUGCAGAAUGGUGAGUAAAUUUUUAAAUUUAUUCAAAAGUCUUUCAGACGACAUAAUAUAUUUAUCAGAUAUCAAACUUCUAUUCUAUACUACAAAUAAUUUAUAGUAUGGACGAUAUUACUUCACAAUUUUUUAAAAAUUGCACCUGGCUCGGUUUUGAUAAAAAAUUAUCUGUUGACUAUUCAUUCUCACAACGAGAAUUUGAACAGAGGGGAGUAUGGUGAACAGAUGAUCUGGUAAUACGAUCAUAAAAACAUCAUGAGAUUCUAUUCAUAUGAAGUAAAAUACGAGUUGAUACAACAUAAUCGUUCUAAUUUGUUAUUCACAAUACUAAAAAGUAAAUUAUUGCAAGUAUAAAUAUAUAACCACUUAUCAACUCAAUCCGAUCAUGUGCGUAUUUUGAAUAAGGUAAGGGAAUAAUAGCAAUAUGAAAGGCGAAACUGAGAGGGAAGGAUAAAAUGAAUAAGAAGUGUUCAAAUCAAGAGCAAAUUAAUUCUAUAGAAAUUCAAACCUAUACUUUCAUGACUUGAUAAUUCUUCAAUAAUAAUUAAAAAACAAAAACGUGAUCACUAUAAAAAUGUGCAACCUUAAUAUCACAUGGAGAAACAUUAUACAUUUAUACUAAGAUGUAAUAGAUAAAGCGUUCCAUGAAUAUGGCUUUGAUAUUAUCCGAGUAGAAUUCAAAUGAAAAUCACGUUUUUCGAUUCCUAGAUACCGCAUUUAUAAUGUAUCACAUGUAUAGGUAUAAUUGCAUGUUUAAUAUCAUACGUCGCUCUGAGAAGCUAGAUGCUAAAGCUUUUGUCUCAUCAAUCCGAGCUUGUCGAUAACUAUAGAUCUGAUGAUCAAACAUUGGCACAGGAAGUAGAAAUUAAAUCUGGUCCUCAAGUUCUAAUGUGAUGUUUUCUGGCUUUCUUAAUAGUCGACAAUUAUCGACAAUCACUUUUAGAUAAAUUUUAGCAAUAUGUUAAAAAAUUUGACAAGUAGCACUAACGAGAUGUACUAUGAUACAUAGGGCUAUUAUUGAUAGUUUUCAACUAGUAAUAUACUAAUAAACUCUUUUUAAUAAAAUUACUAUAGCCAAAAGUACGAUAGAUAAAGAUUAGGCGUUGCAUUUAAAGUAUAAUAUAUCUUCAGCCAAAAUCUGUAAUAAACCCUCAGACUUUGUCAUGUACCUAUCGUACUUUAGAUAGUUUUAUAACUUUUACGCUUCUACUCAUAACAGUUAUUUGUAUAAUAUAUUAUUACACAUCAGCUCCUAUCCACAAUCACACUGACAGCUAAUCAAAAUAAAUGGUCAGUUAUAACGAGAA
Molecule: long non-coding RNA, 2103 nt
Organism: Athalia rosae (coleseed sawfly)
Lineage: Eukaryota; Metazoa; Arthropoda; Insecta; Hymenoptera; Athaliidae
Exons: 2
Source: RefSeq, a predicted model, not a curated record